UCUUUCCUGAGCUGUGAAUAGAGCGAUCACCUCCCCCUCACUGCCGGCACUGUGAGCAGAUCAUUAUGCCCGGAUCGGGCCGAGGUAAUGGAGUCUUCAAGUCACUUUAUAUACAUGCUGUCUUCUUCUUCUUCUUCUUUUACUGUGCGUUUCCUGACAGUACACUUUCCUCCCCUCUUAGCUCGUCAUGUUGUUCUGCAGUUGUCUUCCCUUUCUUAUUCUUCAAAGUCAGUUCGGCGCUCACCUGUAACUCCAAACACACGUUCAUAUCUUGAUCUGAGCAGGAUUUUCCCUCAUAUUUAUGUAGAAUAGCAUCACUGCGUUAGCUUACCGAGGUCAAGAGUGCAUGCAAUGAUCAGGUUACGCCGACCAUUUGGAACCACUGAAGUUUAUUCUUUAUUUAAAUGGUAUCAAUCAAGACAUCUCCUGAGCAACUUUCACUCUUUACGCAGAUGAUAGAGUGAUGUACUGCUCUACGUAGACUUUGUACUUUCAGUUAGCACCCUUAGCUGGCAAGCAAUGGUAUACUGUAUUAUUAUGAGUUUUAACAGCUCAUUACAGCUCAGACUUCCUCUGUCUGGAAGUUCGCACCAAGGACCCCCUGAAAAAGUCUGCGAGGAGAUUUCAAACAAACUCUCCUUUCGAGAUCCAACUUUUGUAUCCAAAGUGAAGAGUCCACCUUAAGGUCAUCGCCAUCUCCUGAGCUGAUUCGUUUUUGCUGCUCAAACAGCAAAUGAUGCCUUACAAAGCUGAGCAGAAGGAUUUAUAAAGGGAUAUUCUCGUGUAAAAUAAAUUUAGGGUCAAACACACUGCAACUCUGAGUUAGACACCCCCUCGAGAGAUGAAUGUUGCCGACCGCUUGCUUCUGUAGUUAUACCAACUUUAGUAACGACCGCAGGAUAGCAAUACACAGCGGUCUGAGGAGCCAAAAACAAACCUCAAUCAAAACGCCACUUUAUAGCCACAAAUAAUGCUCAGAACAGCACCUAACUUCAUCAACAGGACAUAUAGGGUCCUAGCCAUAGUCCUAGCCACCAAACAUCUUUUUAGCUUUGCCUGAUUUCUUUAGCAGAGAGACUAAACACAACUCACCUACUCUCUUCCAACAGCCGCUUGUUUGUAGCGAGACCUCAGGCGAGUCCGUCGACUGGGGUGCCGCAGCUCAAGAAAGAGCGUUAAUAAUCAUUUCUUGAUCAUUUCCUUGAAGUAAUAAUCACCAUAUUAAUCAUUUUGCACUGCAGACGCGGUCGUUCUUCUGUCUUAGCCUCUCGGUCUGAUUGUAUUUUCAUGAAGAAAUGAUCACAAAUGUUCUUCCUUGAGCUGCGUCACCCCACAGUAGUCCGUAAUGGACUGGCCUGAGGUCUUGCUACAAACAAGCGGCUGCUGGAAGAGAGUAGGUGAGUUGUGUUUAGUCUCUUUGCUAAAGAAAUUACGCAAAGUUAAAAAGAUGUUUGGUGGCUAGUGCUGUGGCUGGGACCCUAUAUGUACUGUUGAUGAAGUUAGGUGCUGUUCUGAGCAUUAUUUGUGGCUAUAAAGUGGCGUUUUGAUUGAGGUUUGUUUUUGGCUCCUCAGACCGCUGUGUAUUGCUAUCCUGUGGUUGUUACUAAAGUUGGUAUAACUAGAGAAGCAAGCGAUCGGCAACAUUCAUCUCUCGAGGGGUUAUCUAACUCGGUGUUGCGGUGUGUUUGACCCUUAAUUAAUUUUACACCGGAAUAUCCCUUCAAAGUCUAGUUUUUGGAGGGUUUUUGCAACAAAAUGACUCACUAUUUUUCAGACUUGGAUUAAUGACCCUGUAAGAUAACACCUCCCUCCUUGAACCUGUUGUUCAAAGAGUAUUUUUCGCACAAUUUUGCAGAUGCUUCGACCCUGCACAGCCCAAAAUCCCUCAAUAUGCACCUGCAGACUCACACACACACACACACACACAGUCUUUUCCUUUAGGAUAGCAUCCGUUGGAUGAAAGGUGCUCCCCACCUCCCCUAACCCCUCCCCCCUCUCUCUCUCGGUUGUCAAACAUCAAAAAGGAGAGGGUGCUGUCUCCAGAAAGACUCACCCAAGGCUCAGGGGGGAGGAGGAGAAGUGAAGGGGAGUGGGUUUCUUUUUCUUUUUUUUUGAAGGGGUGAUAGAAAAAGGAGAACAUGGCUGACGUCGGUGCCUUAUUCAUGCCCCACACACCCCCUCCCGCCGCCGCCGCCGUGCACCGGGCGAGGACAGGGUUCCACUGAUUAGUGCCAGAAUGUUCUAAAGAAAGCGAGAAGGUGCCAUGCCGCUGCCUCUAGCGAAGUUACACAGAAGGAGAGAAGAAGUGUGUGUGUCAGUAAAAGAGAGAGAGGGGGAGAGAGAGGGCGAGAGAGGUAGAUUCAAAGCGCUGGCGCAAUGAUUAAGUCAUUGCUUAUACUCGCCUUUGAGUGUCUUGUCUUUGAUGGUGUGAAAAAAAAGCCCCUCCCACACAGACAUCAUUAAGGAACAGAGGAAUUGUCUCUCAAGUUGGGGGAGGCGGGGGAAGCAGUGGCGAGCGUGACGAGCGAGGUCGGUGAUGGCGGUUCACAUCACGACUGUUUUGUAUCACAGUUUUACUCGGCGGCGUGGCAUCACCUGCUGAACCGCUGCUUAGAGCGAAGCUCCACAAAGGUGCUACUUCCUGUCUUUUUAGUCACUUAUUUGAUGUGCCUGAGGUAGACGUGUUACUGGCUAAAAGCUCUUUGAUUAAAGGUGGGGUCGACAGGAUUCCGUUAGAGAAGCAUCUUUUUUUGUGGUGUUUAUACAAAAAAGCUUUUAAUAUCAGUCAAUAGCUAUUAGUUGUUGAUGACAUUUGGGAGUAUAACGAUAUCGCUGUUUUUUUUUUUUUGUCUGUGUAGUCAACAUUUUAAAUUUUUGAGCGACCUGCUCCGCCUCCAACCUGAUUGGUUGUGAGGCACGGUCCACGUCCUUGAAUAACGUUCACGAUCCCAUCAAAGUUAGCGUGCUGCAAUAUCGGACGGUAGAAAAAGCCGGGUCAACAAUGAUGGGGGACUCUUCGGGAUCUUAUGGAACCUUAACAUUACUACAUUACUGAACUUUAGUUACUCUAGCUAACACACUGUGACACCGUCUGUAACACUAGCAAAGAUGUUUUGAUCUUAGCUAGUUAGAAUUUCAAACCGUGCUAACUCACUAGUAUUAGCUACAAGCAAAACGGUAACACAAGUGAGUGUUUUUUUUGCCUCACUUGCUAACUAGUAAGGUUCGGACAAGAGCUAAGAAGCCAGGUCAACAUCAGCAUAAAUAAUGGGGGACGCUUCGGGAUCUUGGUGACCCUGUAACCUUUCUGCUGGACAGGUAAACCGCUUUAACAAAGUAAGACAAGUGUCUGUAACAGAAGUGUUUCUUGUCAAACGGACCUGCUGUAGCGUGUUGUAGCGCCAUCGCUAAACUGUCCUCCCUCGGGUCCUGGACUAUGUCACUUUAUCCUCGUUGUAGAAGUCCUGCAAACAUUGUGUUUGCUGGUAGUCUGUUGGCAUCUACAGUAGCACCAAUGCUUUUGACUUUCACGUUUGACUGGGCCCCAUUUGUAACUAUCUGAAGUAUUUAUCUGCAUUAUAUCUGAAUUUAAUUGGAACAACAAGAGCGAGCAGGAGCGUCUGUUUGUGGGCGGGGCUUGCUGGAGCAGAGACAGAGGGGAAACUGGUUCGGAGCGGUAGAGUUUACAUUCAAGAUUUCGCCCAAAAACUGGCUCUUCCUCAGAUCCUUCCUACCCCACCUUUAAACGCAAAAGAAAAAACACUUCUACAUUCAAAGUUGCGCCAUAAAAAAACAACAAAAAACCAUCCAAUAUGGCAGCUUGUGGUUUGCCCAAUGAGUCCGCCAUCCAUUGGGGUUCUGUGUGGAAUAAAUCGGUCGACUAUUUUGAUAGUUAUGCUAACUGUGGCUGCAAAGACUGAGACUGAAGUGGCUCGUCAUCGUGAAUCAAUUGUUUGGAGUGUUCAUGCAUCCGCCUGCAUUUGUUCGCACACAUGCAUGAGCCGCACGCCAUCUCCAUGACUGAUCCUGUGUUUACUCGUCCCCGUCAUGAGUGCGACUACCAAACUAUAAAAUCUACAUUAACCGGUCGGGGCAUUUGACACAAAGAGCCGUGCACUUGAUCAUGUCAGACAAAAGUAGAUUGCGCCUUUUGAUUAAUGUGUCAGUCAGGGAGGCCAUGAAUAACAUUAGCGGGCGCAUGUCGGUGCAGAGUUCUGCUCAACAGGAAAAUACUGUUUGCAGCUCGUAAACGCUGGAAUUUUCCACUCUUUGGGUUGAAAAGCAAGAAAUGAUGCAGGAUGAUAUGGUUUAAUGACCACUAAGCGCCACUUUAGAGGCGAGAAUGAGCUUGAUAGUCCCACUUGAUCCAAAAAGCAGGUAUCUCUACUCAAAUGUUGCAAGCGUUCUGGUGAAAUAUCGGGCCGUAGAGACAGAGGAGAACAUAACCGGUUUGUUUGUCUUCCUUUAUUCCCCUGAAGAUGAAAAGCGCGCUGUUAAGUCUGAUGUUGUUGGUUCUCCCCCCCGUCAAAAUGAAAGACUCGCAGACUGACAGCCACAAAAGGGCUUUUUGAGAUUUGUUGCAACUGCAGGAAACCGCCUCUCCCUCCAAAUUUGCCGCCUGACAGUGAUGGAGCGCCUGUCUAAUACGGCGAUGUGUUCGUCCACAAGUGUGCGCACCCGCAGACACAACUGGGAGCGCGUUCAAAGACUCGAGAGCUGUCUGACAACAUCAUUAGUGUGUCUGCAUCUGUGUGUAUUACGUCGCCUUUCUUCUCUAUCUUACCCUCUCUCUCUCCCCCGCGUUCUUGCUGUCUGUCUCUCUUGACGGGGGGAAACAGGUGGAAGAGUUUUCACGGGGAACAGACAUCAUACGUUCCCUCUGUUAUGUCUCAGAAGCAGAUCAAUGUGGCGGGGUGGAGAUACUCGCUGGCGCUCAGUGACAAUGGGGGGAACGCUUAGAUAAUUCCCGGUGCAGGCGUGGAGUCUGAGCCCGGCUUGUUCAGUGUUUUCUCUCUCCCAGUAGAGCUCGGCUAAGUGUUCAUCCCACAACUGUGGAGCUGGGACUGCAUCAAGAGUCUCUCAAUCAGGCUUCCUGUUCCUGCAGGGUCGCAUCCAAAUACCAGGACUACGUCUAGUCUUGGAAAACAUAAAGUAGAGCGGCGAUUUCCAGCUUUGUUGGCGUGAAUCUGCGAGAGAAAAGGAAAAGACUCAGAAAAGGAGCGAGGAAUCUGCACUGGAGGGAUGAGGAGCACAACAAAGGGUACAGCGAGAGAAGAAAGAGGUGAAAAAGACAAGGAGGUAAAAUUGUGCUCUUCACCGCCAGGCCUCGUGCCCCCUUCUCUCCACACGAGAGGGGGGCCUCUGAUGAGGUGUUGAUUGCCUGUGGGCACAAGUGGUUUCUCCAAACACUCUAAAAAGUGGCCUAUCCUCUGAUUAGAUUCAAGUGUUAUGACGGCAAAUAGGCCCCGACACUCGACUAUACAUUACAGCUCGGAGAUAGACCGUGUGGCGAGGGCUUUCAUUAAAACGGCGUCUCGUAAAGACCCCGGACAGACCCAAAGGUCAUUUUGAGAAGAGCGCGAGUUAUCGUCAGGGCUUUAAUAUCCAAAGUCAUCAGCUGUUUUGUUGUGGUCUCUUUGGGUCGAAAAAACGUGUUAAAUUACUCCAAGCCUGUGGGAUACCCUCCAAACAGCGAUGGGUCACUGUGAUGGCGGCGAGUUCGCCACUACAGCAUAUAGCGUGUUCUCAAGAGGGCUGAAAACAGAGCGGAUAUAGGACCAUAAAGGCCACUCGUGGGUAAUCUAAGGACUUAGAAAGCACAUUAGCUUGAAUGUAUGGCGAUUGUUCCUCUUUAAGAAACCCGUUUAUGGUUUUUCUCAUUUUCUUUGUUUCUUCUUGCAGUUUUUUACAAGGUUAAAGUCAGUUGUUAUCACUACAGGAAGUUGAAUAGACAUCAUUUCAAAAUAAACAAGCAUAUUUUCAAAAAAGUAAAGUUCAUUUUUGCAAGAAUAAAGAUAAGAAUAACUUUAUUGAUAGAUAUUUUUAUUGACAUAUUAAUUUAUUAAUAUACUUUAUUUAUUUAUUCUUCUUUAUUAUAAUUAUUAUUAUCAAUUUUAUUUAGUUUAUUUUAAUAUUGUUUUCUGUAUUUAUUUUAUUAUUAUUAUUUUUUAUUUAUUUGUUUAUUUAUUUAUAUUUAUUAUUAUUAUUAUUAUUAUUAUCAAUUUAAUUUUGUUUAUUUUACUACUAUUAUUAUUAUUAUUAUUAUCAUUAUUAUUAUUAUUUAUUUGAUUUUGUUUAUUUUAAUAUAGUUAUGUCAUUUAUCUAUUUUAUGAUUAUUAUUAUUAUUAUUAUUUAUUUGAUUUUGUUUUUUUAAUAUAGUUAUUCCAUUUAUUUGUUUUAUUUUGUUUAUUUUAAUAUCGUUAUUUCAUUUAUUUAUUUUAUUAUUAUUAUUUUUAAAAUUUAUUAUACUUAAUUCAUACAUUGAAAGUAAUUUCAAAUUAAAAGUAUCACAAACAACUUUUUUGAGGUUUUAAAAAAAGACUUUCUCCUACAGGGCUGCUCUUGUAGACGAUGCAUUACUUUGCUUUUUCUGUUAUUCUAACUCCCAAUAAUAAAAAUAUGUCGUCAGUUCGACUAAGAAGUGUCACAUAAGUAAAAAUGUCGCUUCAAUAUUGCAUAUCUGCAUUGAGUGAGUAUGUGUGGUGGAUAUAAAUCAUGCAAAAAGCACCUCAGACGGCUCUAAAUACUUAAACUGGUGUAACAAUCUGUCUUUUUUACAUCCUCCUGUUAUUCUCCAUCUAAUAUCAACAUUUCUCGAACGUGUUCAAACAAGCUGUCAGCGUAAAAAUCCAGAGUUUGCUAAAAAUCAGAUUUCCGUAGGAGUGAUGUUUGUUUCAAUGCACAGUUGAAAUGUGGGACAAUAGAGAUAAACAGCUGCUCAGAAGCACACAGUCCUGUACUGAUCCGCAGUCAGUCCCACAAGCCCAGACUGACAUCUGUCUGCAAAUGUAUGGACGCACAAACACACAUGCACAUGCACACGCACACAUACUGUCUGUGAUGCAAACCGCGAUGUACACAGACGAGUGAUGAAUAUUUAAGAGGCUUGAGUCUGUAUGUGUUCCAUAUAUGUCACCAUCAGCGUCUCAAGAGCUGGUUCGAGGGCAGGGGGCUGAUGAGCAGUGUGUGUGUGUGAGUGUGUGUGUGAGUGUGUGUGUGUGAUGGUGGGCUCAAAGUGGCCAUCUUCAUAUAUCAUGUAGCUCCUUCUUGCCAAGAGCGCUGCUUCUGUCAAGUGCAUGUGAUGAGCACCCACAAGACCUCUCCGCUCUUCACCCCCUCAUCUGAGUGUGUGUGAGUGUGUGUGUGUGGAGAAGAAGGAACAGAGGACAUCAUGGGCAUCUGCUUUAAAGAGAAAGCAGGUCAGUGGGUUAGGUUGGACUGUAUGUAUGUAUGUGUGUGUCGUAUGAGGGGCAUCGUAUAUCUACGUUGGGGUAAAUGAGUAUUGUAUAAAAAUAAACAAAAAAAGAAGGAAUCUAGAAAAAUCCAUGUUUGAUUUUUAAAUUAUUAAUUUGCAUUUUAUUGCAGUAAAUUAAUAUUCGAUCACCUCCCAACCUUUCAGAAUUUUAGCUCUCACAAAUCUGUUAGGUUGUCAUUAGAAGGCCCUCCAACUCUCCAUUCGUUACCUGGAUCAGCUGCACCUGUUUGAACUCGUUACCUGUAUCAGCAGCACCUGUUUGAACUCGUUAGCUGUAUUAAAGACACCUGUUCACACUCUCAGUCAGUCAAUCAGACUCCAACUUCUCUACCAAGACCAAGGAGCUGUCUAAAGCGGGGUACACACAUAAGGAUUUUUUAAAUCUUAGGAGAUUUUUUAUCUGUUACAGACCCCACAACCGGGAAACACAAGACGCAACAUGGAAGAGGACACACAAGAGGAGGGAAUGAUGGUGGUUUUGGGAGUAUUUUUGACAGAAAAAAAGAAAAGACCGUGGAAAAAUCCUGAGGACAGCGUGAACGUGGACUUUAAAGUCUACUAAGCGAACUAAGGUGAGUUGUUCUCAAAUUAAGCUAAUUGCUGCUGUGAUUAUUAUUAUUAUAUUAUAUUAUGUGAUGAUCGCUUUAUUUGGUUCCUUGUUACUCAGUCAGCUCGCUUCUUGAUUGGUUGCAAUCCGUUUCACGUGACAAUUCACAGAGUCAUAACUCGGGAGUCGUCGGCUUCUCCCACACGUGAAGAUUUUUGGUUGUAAAUAUUGAACAAGUUUAAUAUUUACAAUUGUUGGCUCCGACCCGUUUUGGACCCAAUUAUCGGGACAAAUUCAAUCUUAAUACACCUCAGACCAGAGGAUAAUCUUAUAGGAUAAUCUUAGAAGACAUAAGAUAAUCUUCCGAUUGUAGUCCUUGGUCGGGAGGGAAAAAAUCGGGACAAAAACAGCCCGAUUAUCUUUAUGUGUGUACCCCGCUAAAGUUGCCAGAGAAGUAAACAGAAUGUCCGAAUGUGGAGCUAAACGCGGAGCUGAAGCAGCAAAAAAAGAUGUCAGCCUCUGGCCGGUGGUUCGGGUAUCUCCAAAGUGACACCGAGCAUUAAAGCCGAUGUGUAAGGUAUGUCAGCAGUUGGUGCCCUCAAAAAACGGCAACACAACAAAUCUGUUUAAUUAUUUAAAGAAGAACUUCCCGAGUGAUUAUGCGGAAAUCAUGAAAAUGUGAGCGGAGUCUGCACAGCCUGAGUUUAACUUCAACUAGCGGUGCAGCCAGCAGACCAAAGCAAUCAAUCCUAUCAUCUACGUUUAAAUCAUCUCAUGUUUAGAUUUUAAGGCAUCUUCAUCAUCUCUGAGGGGGCGAUUUGUUUAUUUUGGGUCUUGCAUACCUGUAAAACACUCAGGAAUAUAAACUAGUUCACUGUAUUAUUUAGUAUUUAUGUAUAUAGUAAAUAACAAUUUGCUUUGUUAUUUACUUUGUAUGAUAAUAAAAUGUUGAACUAAUCUCAAAUUUUUUCAGUUUUUAGUACAUAUGCGUUAAAACUGGCAGUUUAAAAAGAUUUUUUCCACUGUACAGUUCCUAAAAUUUGACUUAGAAUUACAUUAAUACGACCACAUGAAUCUUGUUCCUGAUACACGGCCCAGAAAUGGUUCUGAUCCGGUCUUGUUAAAUGAAACGUUCACCGCCACCUCCUUUGUAUCAACAGGAGAAGAAACUAACAAACUGAAAAUGCCAUAAACCAUUAAAGCUAAUUGACAGCUGCGGCUUCUUUGGAGGAGAGAAAAUGUAUUCAGCUCGAUAUCUUCUCGCUGAGACGCAGCCACAUGUAAAGGGUUAAUGACACGACUGGUGAUGCCUCGCUUUCCACAACACUGCAUGAUGGGUAAACGACACCCCCCGCGGAGUUUGACAGUAGCUCGCAGCGGUCCGUCACCUCGUGUCCACUCUCAGCGGGACGCCUGGCACUUGUGAUGUUACGGGAGAUGCACACAAAAACCACAGAGCUGCUCCACAGACUCCGAUGUCGCUAUUCUUACUGAUCUGAAGUGAAGUUAAUGAAAUAAGAGAGCCGUCGUCUGGAAAACGAGACACUGACUUAAUAAAUGCUGGUGUUAAGGUAAUACUUGUUUAGGCGAUACCUGGGGACGUAUUAUGAAACAAUAACAGUUGUAUUUUCAGAUUUAUUUAACAUAGAUGUGAGUGUCAUAGAUGUGUAACUCAGAAAAGACUAGACUGAUAUUGUAAUGUUUGUCAAAAAAUGGUGACAUGCUCCUUUAUUGUGAUAAACAUGGGAAAUCGUGUUUAUGUAAAUCUUGUGUUGUUUGGGUUCUGACUUUGCAGUCUUUAUUUUGGCGUUAUGGUCUUUGUUGGUGUCGGGUUCUGUUGCUGUGUGGGUUUGAGGUUCCUUAACAGCAGGGUUGGUGUGAGGUUUGAGGAUUUGUGCAGAGCUGGAUUUCUUGUUGUUUUGGUUCUUAUGAGUUGGGGGUUCUGAUGGUGUUAAGGCUCAGAUGGUGUUUGGGUUUUUGUUGUUUGAGUUUUUGGGCUUAUUAGGUUUUUGUUGUUGGGGUUCUUGUGCUGUUAAGGUUCUUAUGAUGUUAAGGUUCUGAUGCUUAAUAGGUCUUUGUUGUUUGGGUUCUUGUAAUUUUGGGGUUCUGAUGUUGUUUAGGUUCUUAUGAUGUUUGGUUUCAGAUGCUUUUUGGGUUCAGAUGUUGUUUGGGUUCUUAUAAUUUCGGGGGUUCGGAUGUUAUUAAGGUUCUGAUGUUGCUUGGGUUCAGAUGUUGUUUUGGUUCAGAUGUUGUUUGGGUUCUCAUGAUGUUUGGGUUCUGAUGCUAAUUAGGUUUUUGUUGUUUGGGUUCUUAUGAUUUUGGUGUUCUGGUGUUGUUUGGGUUUUUGUAGUUUGGGUUUUGAUGUUGUUUGGAUUUUUUUAAUGUAUAAGAUUCUGCUUUUUUCUGGUUUUACAGUUGGUUUCACACUUUUUUUGUUCCAGUAUUUUUGUUGGUUUGGUUCUCAAGAUGUUUGGAGUUCUGAUGUUGUUUUAGUCCCCAAAAUGUUUUGGUUCUUAUGCUGAUUGGGUUUUUGUUGUUUGGGUUCUCAUUUUCUUUGGAUUUUAAUCCGUUUAUUUAUUGGGUUCUACCCUUUUUUCUGGUUGGGUUCAAACCCUUCUGGUUCCAGUAUUUUUGUUGUUUUGGUUCUGAUUGUACUUUGGGUUAAGAUUCUGCAGGGUUCUCUUUCUUUAAAUGAGUUAAUUUGCUGUUUGGGUUCUAACUUAAUCGUCAUUUUAGUUUAGUUUUAGUUUCUAACUUUAUUUGGGUCUCUUCCUGUUUCGUUCCUUUUGUUAUUUAGCUCUGACAAGUUUGGGUUUUUAUUGCGUUUGUUGUUUCACUUUUGUUGUUGUUUGGGUUCUUUUUGGAAGAUGAAGUAAAACCAGAUAGUUUCCUCACUGACUUUUGAGCUGUAACCAGUCCUCUCAUUGUUAAUGCAAAACACAAUCCCUUUACAUGUUCUCUUAGGACGCUGCUGUCAUCACUCCCUCCGCCUGUAUUCUGCUCAGGUAGCAGAGAAAACACACCUUUUCUUUAGAAAAUCAAGCCCCCAGCCAGGUUGUUUACCCACCGAGUGUGUAACUUGGUAAUGUGGCUCCUGUACGAGAACAAGCUCCACUUUAUGGCAGAUAUGAGGUGGAAACAAUCAUGCGAUACAUUGCCCUCGUCCGUUGAGCUCGGCUCUUUUGUCGCGAGCUUCUGUUACUGAGCAAUCUAUAAGUACUUAGCUGCUAAGGAAAUUAGCCGCUCCACCGGCUGGAGAAUGGAGAAAUCAUUGUGAAGCCGGUAUGCCUCUGUGCGCCUGUGUAAUUGUGUUUCCAACGAAUGUGCACUCAAAGUAGGGGGCUCCUAGACCCUCUUUUCCUCCUCUUUCCAGCUCCUACUCCUCCUCUUUCCCUCUUAACUAAAACCGUGCACCCCUUUAACAUGUAAGCACAAGCUAGCCGCGCACCGGGGCCACGCCGGCGCACCGCAGCCAACCUCAUUACCGUGUGAUUAUGCGAAAUCAGCAGAGAGGAGCGAGAGAAUCAAAGCCGCCACUGGAGAUGAGUGAGAUGUACAGUAAGUGUCCCUGCCCCGUUGGAUUGGCGGGGGAAAGAUUAGAGGACUCGCUCCUAGAGACGGGUGGAGAUCAAAUUCUCUCUCUUAGUUUGCCUCCCUCUUGGGCGUCAAAAUGAGUCUCGGUGAUGAGGCAGAUGUCGAAGUCUAUCCUCCUGGUUAGGAGCAGGUUUGGGCAAGCUUGGAAAAUGAGGGAGAUCCUCUCUGUGAUAGCCAUAAAGAAUUCUGGGAGCCCUGCAGAGAGGAGUGGGUUGAAACGGCGUCAUUUAUAUUCAAGGACAGCUGCAGCCGAGGAGUGGGUAUAAAAUCGAUGCAGGGGCUUUACCUCGUCUCAUCCUCGCUUUUUUUGUUCCUGCUGAAAAGGCGGCUCGGCUCGCUGUUGCAGACCCUAAAUUGUGGCUGAAAUGAUGUUUAGGGGAAUUGCACACAGGGAUGAUAAAAGGGAAGGCCGGUUUGCACGCAUUCAUACACAAAUAGGCGCGCGGAUACACACACGAGCCACACACGCGGCGGACAUCAGUGCUGCGUGAGAUAACAAGACCAUAUUGAGGAUGACCGGAGGGUUAGGGGAAAGGCGGAUGAGUGAAAGAGUAAGAAAAGUGGUCACGCUCGGCUUCCUUUUCGCCGUAUAGCCGCCCUAUCUCUCCACCGCACUGACCCUCUACACCACCAGCUCAGCGCCUUAUCAGCGCUUUCCUCGGUGCCUCGUUCUUUCUCCCCCCCCCCAGCGACCCCGCGGAACGUGAUGCUUGGAAAACGCAACACCGGAUAUAGGUUGAGUCAUAGAGCGGCACUAUCACCGUCCGACACGUACCCCCUGUCGGGGCGCAGUCAUCGAGCAGUUCAAGGUGCGAUUAAAAGUGCAGAUUGCUCCUCCUCCCCUCAAGCGUGUAUCGACAUAUGCUCGCCCAACACACCUUCCCCCCCCUGCGAUGAAAACGCACAGUUAUGAGCUUGCUUAAGUGCAGCCUUUAAUUGAAGUGGUAGAUGCAGGUAAAGAGCUCAUUUAUAUGCAUUUCUGCAGCCUAAAGCCAUUGGUUAACACACAUGCAAACACACACACACACACACACACACACACACACACACACAUACACACAAUGGCAACAAUAGUUAUUGAAGCUGACGGCGGCCUUAUCCGCUUAAUCCAAAUUUACAUACACCACUUCCGUUUGGUAUUUCAACAAAAGCAUUAGCUCCCCCCUCUUCUCCGUCCGCCAUGCAAAUAACCCCAACAUUGAGCUGAUUGUCGGGACGGCGGCUGGAGGGGGUUUCCGUGCCAGAUAGUUUGGACUCCAGAAGACGUGGACCGGCUCAAGUCAAAUGAAGCAGCAGGAAAUACAACAGCUGCUGCGACAAAGAACCUCCAGGUUUCAAGAUAGGCUGACGGCGGAUUCGGGGUGAUUACAGGGGAUUAUAAUCUGUGUUUGGAACUGGAAUUAUUGGCAAUAGAAGUAUUCUUGAUGAUGGUUACGGCAAUAUUGGGGUCCACCCUAAAUGACUUACCCGGGAUUUCCACCGCAUCUGGAAUGGCAUUGAUUUUCGCCGUACGCCAAUUCCUACCAGAUCUGUUUGUGAGGCAAAUUUACGGACAGCCGGAAUCGCAAGAACUCACAAGACCCCGCCGAUUCACGUGCAAUUGCGCGAUAACAAGUUGUCUUUAGACACAUAGGCUAACCCUACAAGCAGUAGAUUGUGUCCUUCUAGAGGACGAAAUCUAUGUCUAGACUUCUAGAAUCAGCAUCUCCUCAUCCAUGGUGUCAUCGAGGGGAAAUGACAUCUAUAACACUUUUACUUGUUUGUCCCCGCCCAUUUGCAUGGUGUGAAAUACGAUCCACCUGGAACAUGGAGUGUUUUAUUUUGAAAAGAAGUUGGAUGUUUUAUUUUGUGUCUGUGCCCGACUUCCGGGUUAAUCUGUACUGAAUUUAUCCAGCAUGCUCUGGCGUCGAUCCGCACUGGAACGGAAAGAAGCCGGUGGAAAUUGACACAUUAACUUGAAUGGUUACGAUCGGCAGAUACAGCCUUUUUGUAGCCGUUCUAGUUGCGGUGGUAAAUUGGGGGCAACAUGUUUGAUAUUUACAGUAAGAUACCGUUAUGAUCCCCAAGGAUGGUUGAGAUCAGGAAGCGAGGUCACUGGAAGGAUGCACAACAAAUGCAAAAGCACAAACGACAUGAAGCCAGAAUCCAUUGAUGGAUAAAUCGAAGGUUCGUUUGGACCAAAACCGGACUCCUUUGACUCUUCCCAGGCCAGUUUUGAUUCAAUAUACCCUGAAAAUCUAAGGGUGAAAAGUGGGAAUCGCUCUGUGGUGAGCCAUACAGGCAAUAAUAAGUAGACAUUACUUUAUCCAAAAGGGUCAUGAUCCAAAAAGGUUUAGGACCAAUGAAAAAAGGAUUGCUAUUAAGUCUUUAAUGGGCCUACAAAUAAUGUCAGGAUCAAUAAUCGUGUUAAUGUUAGCUUUAAAUUUGUCGGCAUACUUCACUGUAUGUAUAUGACUCUCGCUGAGAUCGCUUUAAUAAUUCGGGAUGGCACCAUGUGUGGAUGUGACUAAUGUGGUCUGUGCAGGACACACAUUGUCCCAAUCAGUCUUUAACGAAUGCACAGAUCCUGGCAUGAAUAAUUUGGAGUCCUAGUAGCCCUCCUCGGGAUGUGCAGAGGGGGGGUUGUUGCAGAAUCAAUAGCCAUAAGGAGUCUGGCUCCCGUUAGCUUUCAAGAUCUACAGCCAAAGGACCCAGUCAUCAAAAGUUAAUGAGCUAUUUAGAUCAUGCUGUUUCCUCUGCUCUCUACUGAGAAAACACUGCCGGACCGGAGAGAAAAGAGCCCCGGCGCGAGCGUGUACGCGUGUGUUUCAUGCGCUUUAUGUGUUUCCUAUAUAUCUACAGAGGGAGAUUGGCAGCUGAGAGAGAACAAAGCAGUGGAAAUGGUUAUCAUGCGUGUGCAGUUGUGACUCGCAUUGUUCGGGGCGAGUGCCUGACAUGGGUUGCAAACCUUUUUCGGGCCAGUAAUGCGAAAACAAAGCCUGUUUCUGACUCCCGAGUGUGAGGCUAUGGUCGGGCUGCUCAGGCGUUGCAGCAGACAUAUGAAUUGGCUGUAGCCCUCAGUGCUGUCCAGUAAAAAAAAAGAUGUAUUCUCAACUUGAGCUGAACAGAAUGAGUGCGAGUAACUCUACAUAAUGUGUCGAUGAAAAGUCUUGGAUUUCUCAAACUUGUUUUCUUUUUGCCGUCCCAAAAUUUAAACAGAAAUUCAGAGGAAAGCUUUUGGUUUACUAGUGGUUUCCCCAAUUUAUUGCAUAUUUGCUGCCUGUGAAUUGCACUUUGGUUCUCCUGUUUUUGCAGCUGCCUCAGUAAAGUCCCCUACUGAAAAUGUUGAUCACUAUGGGACCAACCUGGCUAAAUAACGGUAAAAUAAAUUCUAAAACACAAAUAAAAGUAAGGUAACUAACUCUUCUGGCGAACCAGCAAUUUGGUGCCCAAGACCUCUUUUCUAGUCCUGGUUUAUGUGCACUGGACAAGAACCAAAUUAUUAAGAGAAGCAUGUUUGCCUCAAUUACAGUAGUUGGCAAUAUGACCCCACACGUCCUUUUCUCCCUGGACAUAUCCUCUUUUUGGCGGCUGUCUGGCGAAGUGUAUGAAAUCCUUUAAAUGUCUGCAGUUUUGUACAGAAGUUCUGAGUUUGUGUCAGGUGGACUUACUGAGUUAGAAGCAUGUAAAAGACACUCGAUCUGACCUGAAAAACGCUCAAAAUUAACUUUGUCUCAACAGGGUUGCAAGGUGUUCACAAGUAGCUAAGGGUUGGUCAUCUUCUGUCAAGUCUGAGCACACUGUCUCACUUCCUAGCAACAUGUUAACUCAAUUCAACUUCUAGGAGAAACUCUUGAGCAUGUGCAGAACGCUUAGGCCAGUUUCACGACACGUUUGAACGGUCACACCGCUGCCUUCAGAAGGAAGUGAGAAGACACAGUGAACUCCAACUUCAGGAGUUUUUGCUUCAGUUUGGUAAAAAUAUUUCUGAAGUUGGUUGACAGGUUAGAUUUAUGUAAAUUUGCCUCACAAAGACGUAUCAUUUCUGGUUAAACUUGAAGUUGGAAAUUUUUUUUCUCCUGUUGAAAUCUCUUAGUAAUUGUGUGAUUGUCCUGCAAUGAUCAAAGACGUUUUUUGUUGUUGUGAAGGAGUCAUGAUGAAUUCAGAAGGAAAAUAAUCUAUUGUUGUUCUUUUCCCAUCAAAUUGAAUAGAUUUUGUCGAAACAACCUCAAAAUAUUUCAGUAAAAACAUCAUGUAUUGUAAAAUUUCUUAGAUUCAAUCCAUUUUGGCCCCCUAGUCUUUAAUUCCAACACAUUUAUAUCGCUCCAAUUGUCAAUUCUUAUGCCAUUCAUCACCAAUUUCUUCAAUUCUUCUGCAUUUUUAUUACUCAGAUCUUUGUUUCUAACGCAUUUCCUCACUCAGAUCUUCAACUCUAUGCUUUGUCAUCACUUUAAUCUUCAUCUGUCAUACGUUUUCCUCCAAAAUUGAGCAAUUUUAGUCUGACGAACAAGUUAACAAGAACUUUAAAGUCUAUCUUCAGUCAGGCUUAUGCAGCAGAUGCACUACUUUGACAAUCGUUGAAGGACUGACAAGUAGAGGAACCUUUUCAAGAUUGAAACUUUGAAUUUCUGCGACUUCUCCUAUUGAUUAAAGUUUUGAAGGUUUAAGUUUGUUAAGAAUUUGUUAUUAUUGGACUUUUUGGUAUAACUAUUCACGCCACUUUUGCUGCUUUUCCCCUCUUAUCUGUUUUCACAUCGGUCCGUUCGUUUGGAGGCUUUUCUCUUUGGUGGUUCUCCAAGAACUCGAGGAACUUUCUAGCUUUCAGCAGGGGUCUACAGGGAAGACAUUAACAGCACAUAACCAUGAUUUGAAUCUACGAUAUACCAUGUUCAUUAGGCUCAUUAUUGCUGGUACACCUCAGGUUUGUUGCCACCUAUUAAAUUAUGGUCAUUCAAGAGUCGUCUCCCUCACUCCUACCUUGCUCCCCUGGCUCCUUUAUGUCCUCCUUAUUUCCUUCCUCCCUUCCUGGACUCUGCUAACGAUGCCUGAAACAAACCGACCAACAUGUCACCCAGGACUCCUGCCCGGAUCCCUCGCUGGCUGUUUCCCUGGCUACUGGCCUUGUUAGCGAGUCCACACAUAAACGUAGCGGGGGAAGAAGUUAUAGCGGUCUGAAUUCCCUUUAGGACACUGGGAAGUUGCAACGACCGGGGAAAAUGUGAGUAUGUGCAGCAGGAAAGUAAGAGAUGAUCAUUAAGAAUUAACAUUAUUCCCACUGUGGCUAUUUUGAAGACUUGGGGACUGCAACACGACCCGGUAGACUUAUAAAAUAUAUAUAACUCAAAGCAGCAAAGCAGCAAGCAAUUCCCGUCCUGGAUGUAAUGUGAGCUCCAUGUCGGCGCCGUGGGAGCGAGGUGAAAACUUUUCCAACUACAAAUUUUGACCACCUUGCCAGUCAAACAUCUCAGGGAGGAAGAAUCAAAUCGUGUCGAGCCGAGCAGAGCAUUGAUUUUCAGGAUGUACCCAGCGGAGGAGGUUUUAUCUGUUGUGCUCUCCACGGAUGCACAUUAACCUCCAACUCGCUUUGAAUCACAUGGAGAAGCCCCGGAGGACCCAAACCCACCAGCGACGAUUAAUUGGUCAACCUUUAUGUCGUCCUGCUUCUCCCAGCCUGCUUGGCUGCUUCCUCCAUUUGUCUCACCGCUCACCACAGCCGCCGCCGCCGCUGCUUUCUGUCUGUCUGUCAGCUGGCUUUUAUGCCUUCCCCUCUCUUCUCCAGCGAGUUUCCCACAAAAACCAAAUCCUGCAGCUUGAGAAUCAGGCAUCAGGGGUUCAGGGGGAAGAAGAGAUGAGGGAUGAAGUUUGGCUUACUGUUGGGCCUGGAAACUUUUCAGCAUAAAAGCUCUCAGAGAAGGCGUGCUGAUCAGAUCACUGAUCGCUGAAGGUCAUUAUCUCUUUGUUGUUGGACCAAAUCUGCAGACCGGGCUGGGAAGUAAAGUUCAAAGCAACCCUCUGUGAACCUGCUUUAAUGGACUAACGAUGACUGGAAUGACCUUGUCAGUUCUUUUCAGAAUUUUGCAGGACUUUUCUGUGAUUGUUUUAUCAGCUUUUUGAAAAGGAUGCACUGCAAAGGAGUGAUAUCUAGGAGUUUUUGCAUUUUUGGUUAAACUUGUUGAAGUUGGUAAAUAAAAAAGUUCCAUCUCCUGUCCAAAUCUCUUAGUAGUUGUGUGAUUGUCCUGCAAUGAUAAAGGACUAUUUUUGUUGUUGUGAAGGAGUCAUGAUGAAUUCAGAAGGAAAAUAAUCUAUUGCUGUUCUUUUUCCAUCAUAUUGAAGCUGUUUUUGUCGAAACAACCUCAAAAUAUUUCAGUAAAAACAUCAUUUAUUGUCAAAUGUCUGAGUUUAAAUCCAUUUUGCCCCCCUAGUCUUUCAUUCCAACACAUUUUCAUCACUCUAAUUGUCAAUUCUUGUGCAAUUCAUCACUCAUUUCUUGAAUUCUUCUGCAUUUUUAUCACUCAUAUCUUUGUUUCUAAUGCAGAUAUUCAAUCCAACUGUAAAUUUUCGUGCAUUUUUACGCUCUGGUCUUUAAAUUCAUUACAUUUCAUCGCUCAAAUCUUCAAUUCUUUACUCUGUAAUUGCUGUAAUCUUCAUCUUCUAUAUGUUUUCCUCCAAAAUUCAAUCCCAAUGCACUUUUAUCAAUCGAUUUUCCAAUUCUUAACUCCAAUAUUUAACUUUUACAUAAUUUAAUGCUCCAAAUUUCAAUUUCCAUGCAUUUUUAUCUCUAAAAACAUAAUUUUAUUACACUGAUAUUUAAUUUCCAUGCAUGUUCAUCCCUCUGCUUUUCAGACCUUUUUAAAUUCAUGUCACCCUUCGUUACUUUUUCAUAUAUUUGACGUCAAUCUGCAUUUUUAACGACACACAAGUUGGUAAACUUUAAGUAUAACAUUAAAAGAUUAUAGUGUUUACACAACAGCCAGUUUUAAGGUAAAUAUUCGAUCAGAAAGUGUCAGAAAAGAUGCAUGCUCUGUAUGCACUUGCAAUACCGCUACGACAGGAAAUGAAGACGACUUUAACAGAACCAGGACCCUGAACCUUUGUGAUCUAAACUCAUGUGUUUCUUCUUAAAUGUCCUCUAAAAAACAGGCCUGUGUUCUCCUAAAGUAAAGAAGUCUGGUAUCCUCUCAGGAUGCUGUCCUGCACACCUGCGCUGCUGUUUUAAUUUUGUCUGAUUAGACCUCUGCUUCUUCUGAGGCCGGGCGGAGUGAUUCAGGGGGAUUAACCAAAGCAGGAAAGAAGCUGCGAGGUAAAGGUGGAAAACUGUGCUACAAAACUAAUAAGAGGCGAAGAGAUGGAGAUGUCACUCAAAGAAAGUCCGCAACAAGGUCCCUGAUUGGACUUUUUUUUAAGUGAAGGCCCCUGUGCGAGUAAACCACCAAUUUUGCAAAAGAAAGAGCAAAGAGGAGUGGGAAAACCGCGGUGAUUAGCAGCUGAAUUUACAGUCCGCCGCGGCCCGCUGAAAAGAGAGGAAUAAAACCUUUUCAGGAUGGAGCUCGGGUCCCCCACUAGGGAUGUUCAUCGGUCACUGAUGAGUGGUCUCUGCAGGACUGGAGCAACAGCCGCUGAAUUAUUGAACACGGCGGCGUCCCUUAGGUGAGACGCCGCCAUGGAAGUCUUCAGUCUCCGGCCCUCCUGACAAAGAGGGGAAGAAAGCUUGAUGAAACAUGGAGGGAUGCUUACAAGCCAUCCGUCACGGUACCUCUGCGCUCACACAGAGGCGGGAUUGGAUUUCCGGCCGGGGGGAUUUGUCGUGGUGGGGGUGGUGGUGGUGGUGGUGGUGGGAUUGAGCGGUACUUCAGCGGGUAGUUUGAUAAAGAGAGGAAUGAUUGUCUCCAGAGUUUAAAAAUCCUCACGAACCAAAUAUCUCUUCGAGGAAACAGAAAGCACAUGUCGAUUUUCCACUUUUAUGCGCUUGUAUGCCGACGACUAACACAUCUAUGCAGAAUCCAUGUAGCCUGUCUAUUUCUGUGUGUCAGCAUCUAUAUUAUUACAUGCAUGCAUGCGGGUAAGUUAUGCAUCUGAGCCCGGGAGUCUGACGCCCGACCCAGCGCACCAGCAGUAAUACCAUCAGAGCUCUCCCGCCGAGCACCUGUUUUAUUACAUUACAUACCCCUGAUCCUCAAGCUGCAUAUGAAACCUGAUAACAAGCCGCAGUCUUUGAUUUACCUGCCAAGGAGACCAGCUUUGGGCUCAUGUUGACGGUAAGAGCCGGCUCCACUGGAAUCAAUUGCUAAAUCUGCAGGCUAAUGGUGCUUGUGUGCUGGCGUUAUUACAUCAGAUAGUGCGGGCUUGUUGUGGAGGGUGAGGUCUUAUCGUACUUGUGGAGUGGGUGUAUUGGAAUAAGGAUGGGGGUUCGAAUGAAAUGUCAAAGUCUCUUAUAAAUCGAUCUGUUAAGUUACCACUGUACCUUUAUUUCCCUGCAUAUUUAGGUCUUUUAAUGACCUUAAAGGUGGGGUAGGCAGGAUCUAAAGAAGUGUCCGUUUUUGAGAGACAUGUUGAAUGUAAACUCUACCCCUCCCUGUCUGCUCCAGCAAGUCAGAUAUAAUGCAGAUAAAUACUUCAGAUGGGGCCCAGUCAACGUGAAAGUAAAAAGCAUUGGUGCUACUGUAGAUGCCAACAGACUACCAACAAACACAAUGUUUGCAGGACUUCUACAACGAGGAUAAAGUGACAUAGUCCAGGACCCGAGGGAGGACAGUUUAGCAGCGCUACAACACGCUACAGCAGGUCCCGUUUGACAAGAAACACUUCUGUUACAGACACUUGUCUUACUUUGUUAAAGCGGUUUACCUGUCCAGCAGAAAGGUUACAAGGUUUGUAAGAUCCCAAAGUUAGCUUCACUGACAUUGACCCGGCUUCUUAGCUCUUGUCUGGUCUACCUCCUUUUUAAGCGCCCGUUAUUCUGCCAGAGUCUCCGGUAUUUACUUUGUUUUCUUGCUUGUUGACAGUCGUGGCCGGAGGAGGAUUCAGACAAUUUUCUGUACUUUCUGGUUGGUUUCUAUGGUCUGAUAUUGUAGCACGCUAACUUUGUUUGGGCUCAUGAAUGUUAUACGAGGACAUGGAGCGUGCUUCACAACACGGGGGAGCAGAAUGUUGUUGACAAAGCACAGCGAUAUUGUUAUAUUCCCGAAUGUCAUCAAUAACUAAUAGCUAUUGACUGAUAUUAAAAGCUUUUUUGUAAAUACACCACAGAAAAAGAUGCUUCUUUAAUGAAAUCCUGCCUACCCCACCUUUCAGUAGGUGGAGUGACCCAAGAUUGUGGGUACCUAUCGGCUCUGCAGUGUUCAUUUUGCCAAAAGAGGCAACUCUGCAGAAGAGACGGAGUCAGGGAGACGUUGUCAUUCCCUACCCUCGUGUCCCCGUCGUCACCUGCUGCAGGUCUUGGUCGGUGAACUGAGUGCACUUUUCUGUUUCUUUUCCUUGAUUGAACAAGACAACAGACGAUGUGAAAUAAAGGUCCCCCAGCAGGAAAUGACCCAGAAGCUCCACACCAAACGUCAGGUUUUACCUCUUUUUCAACUCUUUGAUUCCGAGCAGCUUAAACCUUUUUCUUCUCCUGAAACAGAGGCAGGGAUUUUACCGCCCCACAUGUCACGCACAGCAACGCAUAAAAAAGACAAACACACACACCUACUUGCACAUGCAAACACCUUUCCCCGCUCCCUCCCAUGUCUCCGUGUCCCUUGUGUGCAGUUGCAUCAGCAGCAGGGGCCUGUGCCUGUUGUCAUGGCGUGAAACAUCCCUGUAACCCUCAGCGGGUUCUACCAGCCCCCUCUGCCUCCGCGAAGCACCCCGCUACCCAGCCAGCUGCUUUCCACAGGUGUUGUCGACACAUGGCGGAUACAUCCACGGAUAAAGAAACGAAGGAGGAGGAGGUGGGAGGCAGAGGAGGAACAAGCUCAGACAGACCUCGCCUCACCUUGAUGGAGCGUGGCUCACGGAUCCCCAGCGAUGGUAUUUUCAGCCCCCCUACCUGCGAACUUCUGCAGGGUUUGCGUCACUAAAUGCCUGGCAACCACACCUGGCGUCAUCGUCGGGACCCGCGGGAGGAAUCAUCUGUGCACAAACACCGGCUGCGGGGAAAAAAGGAGCAUCUGGAAAGAGAUUGGAUUGGUAGAUCGAAUCAGCGAAAGUAAACAGUUUACAGAAGUAGAUGGAGUCAAAAAAGGGCAAAAAUGAUCUUGGAGUGGGACUUUUCAUCACAUUUGUCAAGAAUGUGUGGAAGAGAGUGAUCUACUGAUGGUCUAAAUGGGUCCUGUCUACUUCCUGAUGGAUAAAGCGAGCCUCUCCAGAGCUCUCAGACUCGUUUGCCUUUCUACGCUUGUUCCCUCUUCGGUCCGAUCACGUCUUUAUCUCCCCUGAUCCCCCAAUAAGCCUUUAUGUCUUUGAAUAUUAGAGUCCUGGCGCGGAAGAGUCACUCGGAUAGUCAAUCAUGGCGGGAGUGUGCAGCUACCUUUGAUUGCUAUCGGACUGUUUGCUCCCUGGAAAGAUGACCAGAUAUGCAAGUGUAUUUGCGCGAUUAGAAUCAGUGCAUGUUUGGGAGGAUAACUAUCAGUGGGUUUUUGUGUGUUUUGGCGUGUUGCAGCUCCAGACAGACAUGUAAACAUCAUCACCCCGGCCUUCCCUCCCUUUCUUCUCCUCCUCCUUCCUCAGAUACCGUCUCUCUUCUCGCCGGCUUCACCUAAGCCUCCAGAUUGCGUUUUUGACAAGCGCCGAUCAUCCCUUUCCCCGUUCCUGGCAUCCGAUACCAGACAAGACGCCGGCGCUGCUUCUUCUUCUUCUUCUGCCGCCGCCAAGAUUUUAUUAAACAGACGAGGAGAGAGGGAGGGAAGUGGUGCUGAAUGAGAAUCAGACUUCAACGAUGAAGUUGAUUUUAAUGAAAGCCCCCCUAAAAUGACGCCCCUCUCUGCAGGGAGGUCACAUUUUCCGGGGAUGGCUGGAGAGCACUUUAGCCGGGGGAAAGAAAGAGAGAGAGAGGAGAGGGAGGCGUGCUUGACAGUGAAAUGCAGGCUAAUGUGUUGUCAAGGCAGAAGACGGAGGAGAUAAGAUAGGAAUCCCUGGCAGAAUUGUGGAUGUGGGUUGCCAGGGAGCUUUUUCUCGGUAAUCUAUGCAUGCCGGAGAUGGGAGCGGAAGAGGGAAACAUUAUUCAAACACAGGUGAGGAAAUGAAAACGGUCAGUCAGAGAGGAGGGAGUGAAUCCUUUUGUAAUACGCUCCUGAUUUGUUCCACAUGAGCUGGAAAAGCGAGGCCUGGGACUGAAAGGCCUUGACAUGCCCCCGUGUGCAUCUGCAUUGUGCCGUUCCCUUUUUCAGAGCCGAUACUGUGAAGGUGACGAUAUCAACUCCAUCAAAACAUGACAAUCCCAUCAUUUUACACACUGGGAGUAUUUGGUUCUCUGUUUUUUUCGGUGUAUUUAAUGGUUUUCGUAAAGUUUUCUCCACUUUUCUUCCCUCCAAUCUUCCCUCCUCGCCAUCCAUCCACUUCAUCCCCCCUCUCAUCUCUCUCCCCCGGCCUCCUCCUUCACUCUUACCUUUGCUAUCUCAUUCCUUUCUCUCUUUUGAAAUGCCUGUUGCUGAUCCAUCAGGCUGCUACCAGAGCGUGCUCCCACUCCUUUCUCACACUGAGUAAAGUCUGUCUCGGAGGAGGAGGCGGCGGUGGCGGCGGCAGUAGUGCUGGGAGGUAGUUCUACUCCAGUAGGGUACCAGCCAGUUAUUAAUUACUCCCCAAUUCCUCAUCUGUUCUCCGUCUGCGGAGAGAAGUAAUUACGCCUCUCCCCCGUUUCUCCCCUCGUCGGCAUCAGAAAUGACGCGAUAACCAGAAACCCAAAUUACUCCCGCUGAUGAGACAAUCAUUGAGCGAGAGGGAGCACGCCGGAGAUUUUUCAGCCCCGUGGUGCUUCGCCCAUCGGGGUAAUGGCACCUCGAUUCAGUUUCGGAUGCCUCCCCUUGUGCAUUUGCGGGGCGUUUCCAAUUUCCACCUCGCCAAACACGAGAAGAUGGGUAAGAGGAGAUAGGCAGACUGAAUUAAAUGAUUUUAUUCCUCUUUUCCUUUUUUUUUUGCGACCAAUAAGAGAGUGCAAUCAUUGGGCGGUUCCAGCUCCAAUCAGCGGUUUGCAGCUGGAGAGGAGCGGUGAUGGAAGAGGGACAUUAGCGCCGGAUCCUCAUCUGCCACAGAAAGACAGAAGGAAAGGAGGGUGGAAAACAAUCAAGGAUGCUUUUUUCUUCCCUUUUUUUUCCCCCUUUGAAGAAAAAAAAAAGGUAUCCAGGUGUCAAUACACAUGCAUUUGGAUGUGCUCCAAGAUUGUGGCUUGUAGAGUAGUUUCAUGGAUAUUAAAGAGAGGUGAGGACGUCUUUGUCGGGGAUUUCUUGGCUUUUUGGGCCGACUCGAGUGGAAACUCCAUUUUUGGGGUGUCACUUUCCAACACCAGUCGUUGAAAUUUGCUUGUCUUGCUCAGUCAGUAUACUUCAGUCACCUCUUUGCGAAGGCACACCUGAACAAAUGUUCCUCGGUAAAUCCGCCUCUUUAAAUUUUUGCCACUCUUGCCAAAACACACAUGAGCAGUAACCACUGUGUUUCAUUCAGGUGAGCCAGUUCCACAGCACACAGUGGGACUCAUUAGUCUCACCUGUGGCUUCCAGGUCGAGACAUCUGGAGAAGGUGAGCAGAACACAAGCUCAUUUACGGAGCAGGCGAACACAGGAAAGCUUGCAAAGAGCAUUUUAAUGGAAAUCUACGUCGAGCUUUCAUGCGGUACUUUUAAUAUUUCAAUGAAUGCAGAAGCUAAGCUCACUGAAGGCAUGAAGUAGGGCUUUUGUUUUUAGCUGACAGAAUGCAAAACACUUAAUUAAACUUAAUUCUAUUCAGAUAAAUCAGUUUAGGAGUCGCACCAACGUUAGCAUCCAGAUUUGUGGACUGGUGCAAAAGUGACGCAUCGCUAUCUUGAGGACAGAGAGAGCAAAAACCUGGUUUAAAGUCUGAAGCUCAUGGCGCAGUGCUUUCCUGAUAUUAAGAGGGUAAAUAAAUGAGUACACCCCUUAAAUGUUGUCAGAAAACCUUUAGUUUACUUUCAAAAUCAACAUUUUCUAUGUCAGACUCUACAACAAAAUACUUCCCCAAAUGUAGGCCAUUGAUUGCAAACAAGAUUUUUUUAAGUUUCAUACAAAAAAGUAGUUUGGUUUGCAGUACAUUACUUUUAAUAGGGCGUGUACUGGCUUAUGCUGGGCAAAGUUCACAACAUGCAUUUUUUUUAUUUUUAUGCAGAGUUGCAUGGCAGUGUCCGACAUUCUGGGAGUUUUAAACGAGUGUUUGAUGGGACUCCGUCAACAAGCUCUCCAUCAUGCGCACUCUCAAAUUUAUGCAAAAACAGGCAAAUGCAGGUAACACAGUCCUCAUAAUGGCCUCCAACCAUCAUACUCAGAUAGGACUGAUCUGCAUCCACUGUGCACACAGUAUAAACCAUUUCCAUUUGAUCCAGCAGCAAAAACAAGCAGAAAAAAAGAUUAAAAGCUCGAUAUUGUCAAUAAUUUUUCGAUAAUUAAUGACGUUUAAGCUGCUGUACCUCGUGUGUAAUGUACGUAUGUGUCAAUCUGGAAAAAUCCAUACUGAUCCUGCUGAUUUGAGAACCUGUUUCAGUGGAUUCUGCACCGUUUAACCACCUAAAACCUGUCAGAUACGCCCUAAUUCACACUUCUGCCAUGUGCCGUGUCUAAAAAUUGACAAGUCGCUUUAAAAAUAAGCAGUUUCUAGAGGUGACAUGCCAUAGUGGAUGCAAAACUAGUUAAAUCGAACCCUGAUUUCUGUGCUGCUAAAAUUCCUGCUCCCCUAUAGGAGCUCUUUGUCAAAGCCAAUCCAGACAUCUCUGAAUGCAUCUCCCCCCUGCUUCCCUGCUCAGCUGUCAAACUGCAGUUUAAAUGGAGCAGAAGAGGGCUAGUGCUGUUCUCUAUAUUGUAUUUCAGUACCUGUCAAGUGCUUAUUGAUUGGCUGCGGUGGAUUAGGAUGGCUGUGUUGCAGCAGAGAGAGUGUGAGCGUGCUGUGGGUAUAUAUUUUUAUACGAAUGUGUGCAUGCGGAGCCGCACUGGAGGUCUCUGAAAUCACACCGUCUAAUCCGCCGCUCUCCAACUUUAUCUCCUUGCUACGUCUUCUUUUUCUCUUCCCCACCGGCCCUCUCGCGUACGUCCUUUAAGCUUCGCUCGCUGUCGUCGGCCUGGAAUGAUUUGGAUCCUAAUAGUCUUUUUACAGCCGCCGGCUAAUGUUGCCAUGGGGGAACGUAACGGGGGCCAUAACGAGACAAUCCCAUCCCAUAUGCAGAGGAUAUGAGGGGGAAUUUGUCUGCUUCAACAGUGACAGGAGCAAUCUGUACAGUGGAGGGGGGAAAAAAAACUCAGUGUAUUCAGGAUUACGGUGCAGGAGCCCAUUGAAAGUCUAAUGGACUAGUCACAUCAAAUAGACUCGGUCGGAGCAUGCUCAGAUGGGUACAUGGCGUGCACACACUCACACGCAGAAAGAGAAGCCAUUACCAGCAUGGGUUGGGCCAUUACUCUCUGUCCAGUGCCGGUAUGUGUGUGUGUGUGUGAGUGUGUGUGUGUGUGUGUGUGUGUGUGUGUGAGGCCAGGCCAUAAUGUUUCCAGUCCCAGAGGGGUCUCAGUACAGUACGGCCCUCCUAAAUAAUUACCACAGGCCUCUUUAUAUAAGAACAGGGCCAGGCAAUAAAGGGACUAUGAUAUUGCAUUGUGCAUACUACACUGAUAUGAAGGCGGUGAAUUGUGAACUUGCAAGCUUGUCAGGCGGCCAUUAGAGGAGACCUGCAAUGCAAACAUCUUUUGUGAUGUUGGAGCGAGGAUUUCAGCCGCAUCAUCACACGUUUGAGCGUCUUUAGAGGCUUUUUAACGCGUUUUUACCUUCUCAAACCAAAAUGUAAAAUAGCAGGUUAUCUGUUUUCAUUGGGCGCUCAUCAUGAACCUUAUUUUGUAGGAUUUUGUUCAAGGCCAUACACUGAUUAGGGGUCAAUUCCUGAGUUUGGAAGUGUGAUUCCUUCUAUGAAUUUUGCUAUUUUCGAUGACUCUGCUCUAGGGCUGGGCGAUAAACUGAAAUAUACAACAAUAACGGAAAUAAUUUUGCCCAUAUCAGUAUAUUAGGUGUCAAAAAAAUAGAUAAAUAAAAGUUGGUUUUGGAUGUGUGCAGGUAGGCUAUGGUAUCAUGUCCCUUUAAGACGUGACUCCACCUCAUCCAGUCCGUAACAAAGAGGGAAAGACAGAUAAGGAGAUGGAGAAUGGUUCAAAAGUUGCAGCCUAAGUAGAUGAAGUUAAUUUUGGAGGGGGUCAGCAGCUUGUGAAGUAGUUAUCCAUUUUCACAAGACUUUGUUCAAGGUUACGAGUCCAGUUUUUCUGCACAAAAAGGGGUCAAUUCCUGAGUUUGGAAGAGCGAUUCCUUCGAUGAAUUUUGCUUUUUUCGAUUAAAAGGUAAACAGCGCUCACCACGUCCUCACAAAGAGUCUGUUUUCCUUCAGAGGAUGCAGAUGUUUGAUUAGACGAACAUUGGGAGAAGGUUCAGAGGGAGAAAAGGGGAAUGUGUCUUUAAAAGCAACUACAUUCACUGCAUCUGUGAACUAAUCAUUAUUACUGUUUACUAGGGCUGGGCGAUAAACCAAAAAUUUACCGAUACCGAAAUUUACGUCAAUAACCUGCGUCAUUUUACCCAUAUCGCUAAAUUCAUCGCCAAAAAAAUAAAUAAAUAAAAUUUGGUUUUGGAUGUGUGUAGGUAGGCUAUGGUCUCAUGUCCCUUUAAGACGCUGUCCUACAUUAGAGAUGUGACUCCACCCCAUUCAGUCCCGGUGUGGAGAUGGAGGACGGUUCAAAAGUUGUAGCGGCUGAAGUAGACGAAGUUAAUUUUGGAGGGGGUGAGCAUCUUGUUGAGUAGUUAUUGUCCAUUUAUCGUUAUCAAGGUGAACUGCUCAAUAUAUUGUGAUAUUGAUUUGAGGCCAUAUCGCCCAGCCCUACUCUGCGCUCACAAAUGAUGUAAAACUCAACGUUUUAAGCCUAUUUGAGGAUAUUCACAGCAUGUUUCUCUUGUAUUUCCACAUUUCCAAGGCUGGUCAGGCAGAAACUGUUUCCAGAUCCGGUUAUUUUUUUAUGCAACAGCUUCAAAAGGUCAGGAGCCAUAACUAAUAUAGUCUGAAACGUCAUAUAAACGGACUCGUCAUGGUUGAUUCACACAAAACAUGAACCAUGGAGCUCAAACUGAUGGAUGGAGUUGAUCCAACAUGGACUAAAGAACAAGAAGACGGGAAAACUUCGAUUAACCCACCUCUGUCAUGAACAAACCGAUGUGUGAAAAAUCUUGUGUGACAAAUCCUACGAAAGAGGAUAAAGGCCACAAGAAGAUAAAAAAAAAAAUGACAGGAGGGUGAUUUUUUAUUUAUUUUCCUUUUCGAGAUUAAAAUAUAAAUUUUUAAAAGUCAAAAAAUGCAUCUCGAUUUUAUUCAUUUCGACUUUUAUCUCAAAUUUUUAAGUUUUUUCAUCUCAAAAUUUGAUCAUUAUUCAUGACACUUUGUAAUCUCGAAAUUGAGACUUUUAAUCUGGAAAUUUCAACUCUAAUCUCCUUCCUGUAAUUAUAUUUUUCUCUUCAUGUGGCCCUAAUUCUCUUUUGUACAAAUCCAGGUUAAAUGAUCACCAUAUCUUGGUGAUAUCCCAAAUGGAAACCCGGGUCUGAACUGAGUCCAGUUCGGUUCAUGUUGUCACGAUUCUUCUUGGAUCUCUCUGAAAUGACGACAACAAGGUGGAGCGACCUUGUUUGGACUGAAUCUCUUCUCGUUUCGACCUCCAACAAACAUCUGCUUUUAAGAAUCACGACUGCUUCGAAAAUCUAUUUCUCGAAUCUGCAUCUUGGGCCUUUCAAACCUCCCAAUUUCAACUGUCCUCAUUUUCCGAGGAAACCGUCCAGCCAGCUGUCGAGCCAUCCCCGACGAGGUCACACCAGAUGUUUUAAAACUCAUCUUUCACCUCAUUUGUGAAACGUACAUUCAGGUGAAAAUGAGGCAAUCUUUAAGCGCUCUCGUCGGUUUGAGCAGGUGCGGUUUCCACAGGGAGUGAUAAUUUCUUUUUACUGAUUCGAGUCACGAGUUCUCCGCCUUUCCCGCUCUGAGUUGGGUUAAAAAUGGUGUGUCAUUUCCUCCUAGGAAAAUAAAGUUUCUCCGAAUCAGUGGGCGGAUGUUCACGUCUCCAAAAAAGAUAAUUUUGUGGCGUGAGUCUGAACACAUUUAUCUACUCCAAGUCCCCAAAGCCACGCUCGGUGGAGUGAUACAUGCUCGCAGGCCAAUGUGGCGCACAGGCUGUCUGCUGCCUCCGAUUCCUCCCCCAACCAGUCAUAAUCUGCGUAAGUCAUCCUUGAUUAACCCCUGCUGAAUGACUCUAAUUAGAGCCAAUUAGCCCGGGCAGGAUGAGACACUCACCAUGCAGAUGAACACAGCUGAGAGACGGAGCGGGGUCGAAGUGGAGGUGUGGAGAGCUGGGAACACGCCGGAUGAUUGAGGGAUAGAGGUGCUUCGGGCGUGGAGAGAGCCGCGAUGGAGGCGGGAGAAAUAAUGAGGCGAUGGAAGAGAAGAAGGUUGGUGGAGCAGUGACUGUUGGCUGACUAUCUACGGGCAUCUCGUCGGGAGGCGCGAACGCACACUUGUAGGGGCGAAUGAUGAAACUCGUGAUCGCUGAAACAAGGUCUCAAGGUCUCAAGGUCGCUGAAACAUUUGGGUUAUCCAAUCCAGGAGAUUUUUGAGGUGUGCGCCGGGCAGUUUUGAGGUUACCUUGUAUGGUGGAUAUGAGCGAGUUAUGAGAGUAUUUUUAAUUAGAUUGCUCAUCUAAAUAAGUCUAAGUGAAAAUGCACUUUUUUGUUUUGUUUUAACAAUAAUAAAUUUAUCUGAGGCUGCCAUGAACGCAUCACUCUGAGACGGUGCAAGACUCUCAACGUAAAUAUUAUAUCUCACGUUUGUUUCCCUUUCAUUAAAGUGUUUAUUUCACAACAAAAACUGCUUAAAUAUAGUUUACAGCUUAAACUGACCUGAAUCAUCCCAAACUGUGAAGUAAAAGUAUCAAUCCAGUGUCUGUGAGGCUCAGCAGAAACACAGGACUGUCUUCGGUUGUCCGGAAACCUGGAAACUUUGGACAAAUUUUGUGAUCCGAUUCAUGAAUGAACGUGAACCAUCAAACGACGGGAGAUUCCCAGGAGAAAUAACAAUACGGGAGGAUGGCGGGAGAGAGGUCUGAAAUAUGAGAGAGGCCCGGGAAAAACAGGAGUGUUGGCAGGUAUGCAAUAAAUGCUCAUACGACUCUGUGUGCUACCUCCAUCGUCCAUCAUGUAUACUGAAGUCAUGACGACUGUCGUAUUUAUUUGAGCGACAGACAGGCUGUUUGCGGUUGCCAGGUUGGGUGGCCUUCGACUAAAUAUGACCUGUUUACAGUGUUUUACCUGGGGUUUCCCCUGGAAGGCUUUGGACAUCUGGCACACUUGUGAACGGAGUUGAGUUUGCCACUCACAGAUGCCAGAAUGAGUGUGUUCAACACCAACGCGUUCAUACACAAAUAAAGAACAAUACGUUCCAUCCAUCCAUCUGGAGGCUGGAGCCUAUCCCAGCAUCUUCGGGCAAAGGCAGGAGACACUCUGGACAAGUCACCAGUUCAUCCCAGGGCUGACAUAUAGAGACGAACAACCAUCCACACUCACAUUCACACCUACGGGCAAUUUGAAAGUGGCCAAUUAACCAAACCCCACUUCUGCAUGUUUUUGGGAUGUGGGAGAAAACCGGAGUACCCCGAGUAAACCCACGCAGACACAGGGAGAACACGCAAACUCCACACAGAAACGCCCUGACCUGGAUUCAAACCCAGGACCUUCUUGCUGUGACCUUCUUGUCUUGUGGCCUAGAUGGUGGCAUUUCAGGACCGUGCUUACAACCACAUCUGCAGAAAAACAAGGAACAAAACUGGGAAUCAUUGGAGAAUAUGACACUCAUGUCCAAAUCUAACCAGCGUUUUAAAUGCUAAUUAUAUCCUCCUUCAAUUUGCAUCCCCCCCUGUUUUUUUCCCUAGUUUUUAAUUAUAGUUUUUCCCCUCUGUACCCUUUACCCUCCAUGUGUAUCCAUCCAGACUACUAGCCGGGGCGCUCGGAGGCCUUACCUACCAGAUACCCAUGCCAGCUUCCCCCAGCCCUCCCCUGCUAUCGACCAGCAGCAGGGGUUUGGAGGCCAGACUGAAGAGCCCACUCAGCCUGCCCAGUGAUUGCCUCAGUCUAUCAUCAGCCAGAAGAUUUCUAUUAUUGCAGAUGGAUGAUUGGUCUGGCUAGCUGCCGGCCUGGCAAAGCAAGCUCAUUUUAGAGCGGUUUGAAGUGCGAGCCCCCACUGCACCGGAGCGAUCGUGAGGAGGAGGGGUGACGAUUCUGAAAAGGGGGAUUUUGGUGAUUUGGUGUUGAAAUAAUGGAGCAGAAAUGGCCGUAAUGACAAGGCACGGAGACGCUUGGAGCAUUAUGCACAGAGGACGAGGCUGUUAAUGCGGACCGUCUCUAUUUCCGAUGGCAAUUUGAACGCUAAUGACGGGGAGCGCUUUUCUGUUAAACAAAUAGACGCCCUGCUCUUUGAAUGAGGAGUUUGUUUACUGUUUGUUUGGCGAGGCCGGAUCCUCUCAAUACCCCGUGACGGAACCACUGCACGGAUGCUUUUCCUCGCCAUCAGAGUGAUUUUCCAACUUGAAUCAAACAUGGAGUCUUAUGAAUAUCUCUGACAAGUUUCUGGUCCCUUUUUUUCCCAGUUUGACCUCUCUUAAACCUUUCACCUAGGGCUGGGUGAUAAGGGGAAAAUCAGAUCAGUCAAUAUCAAUAUACAUCACAAUAUUAAAAAAAUCACUUGUCAACUUUUUUAUAAUUUUUUUUUUAAAUUUUUUUAAUUUUUUUUAUUGACAUUCAGAAUCAGACAUUUACAGUAUAUACGUCAUGUCAGCAUACUUCUUGCUUCCGUUGUCUGCCCUCGAUGACAAAGCAAAAUUUUAGGUUAUAUCUAAAAAAAUGUGAAGAAAAACAAACAACUGUAACAACAACAACAAUUGAAUUGAAAAAAUAAAAUAAUAAUGAAAGAAUAAAAAUAAAACAGAUUUUUUUAAAAGACAAACAACCAUGACAACAACAAUUAAAUAAACAAUAAUAAAAAAAUAUAUAAAAAAUAUUAAAUAAAAAAAGCAAACAACCAAAACAACAAUAAAAUAAAAAAUGAUAAUAAUAAAAAAUAAAAAAUAUUUAAUUAAAAAAGGCAAAUAACCAUAACAACAAUCAAAUAAAAAUAAAUAAAUAAAUAAAUAAAUAAAAUGGAAAAAAAGUAUUAAUAGGGAGCGCUCUUCCCCACACACCAUGGCCACUGGUUUGUGAAAAUAAAAUCUGGCCUAUGAGGCGUGACAUAUUCGACCCAGUUUUCCUCGUAUGAUGUGAAUUUCUCCAGUUUGUGAUUAACAAAUGGUGUUCUCUUCUCCGUUUUAUAAAUGUCCAUGGUCAUAUCAAUCUUAACUUGUCAAUCUUAAAUGUUACAUUACUCUUAAAUGAAAUUUAAAGAUUUCAGAAGGUUCAUUUUUAUUUAAGGACUUAUUUUCUGUCAAAGUUGAACGUAAAACUAUUUCAAACAGAUACACAACUCCAAAUAAAUUUGAAAAAUAUUAAUUAGAAAACUAAAAUUUUAAAGAUUAGGAAAGAAAACAACAUGUACUCGACAUAAUUUGCAGUUCACAUUACUCUGCUUCAUGUCCGACCUCAAUUCAGCACAUGACUGGUUCAGUGCGGCGCAGACUCGGAGCAACUCCCCUUUUCAUUGGCUAUUACAGUCUACCAAAACACGGCAGAAUGCCGGCCAUCAAAAAGCAUAUGGAAACAUCACACAAAAGAGUCAGUAUUCGCUGCUGAGUGCCAAAGUGUUCCAGUCAUGAUUCAUCCUCUCUAUCAUAUGACUUUCAUACGUCUGCCUCUCCUCCCUGUUGUUAUUCUGCAGCAAAUCAAAUUACAACAUCACAUUUCAGCCUCAAACACGACUAUUUUCAGACUUUCAUGCCCCGGGUUGGCAGCGUUGGCUUUACUUUACUGCCUGACCCGAGGUCAGUUUGGAUCUGUUGUUGGAGCGCUGGACUCUGCGACCUGCAACCCGAAUCAAUAGUCUUGAGGGAAUUUGAAGUAUCCUGCUACAUGGCCUCUGCACUUGUGAGAUUGGAGAAGUACAGAGGAAAUGCAACCCAACAUGGUUUUUGAUGCAGUAUUGAUCUCUGCAGCCCAGGCUUUACUGUAGUGCAUUACAAAACAGGGGGAAACUGUACACUCCUCGUUUAUUUAGUUCAAAGACUGUUUUCGACACAGAAUUAGCAUCUUGACAUAUCACAUAGAUGUAGUCCACUUUGUGUCCGAAUGGAGGCGCUCUUGAACAGGAUACAGGGUCUAAAAAUUCACCUUUUGACACGGUUCACUCUUUGUUUCAGUCGUUUCUCUGACUUCCCUUAAAGGGAUAUUCCGGGGUUAAAUUAAUUUAGGGUCAAACACACCGUAACACCGAGUAAGACACCCCCUCGAGAGAUGAACUUUAGUAACGACCGCACGAUAGCAAUACACAGAGGUCUGAGGAGCCAUAAACAAACUUCAACCAAAACGCCACAAAUAAUGCUCAGAACAGCACCUAACUUCAUCAACAGGACAUAAAGGGUCCCAGCCAUAGUACUAGCCACCAAAUAUCUUUUUAACUUUGCCUAAUUUGCCUAAUUUCUUUGGCAAAGAGACAAUGAUCAUAAAUGUUCUUCCUUGAGCUGCGACACCCCGCUGUAUUCUGUCAUGGACUGGCCUGAGGUCUCGGUACAAACAAUGGCUGCUGGAAGAGAGUAGGUGAGUUGAUUUAAGUCACUUUUCUGAAGAAAUUAGUCAAAGUUAAAAAGAUGUUUGGUGGCUAGUGCUAUGGCUAGGACCCUUUAUGUACUGUUGAUGAAGUUAGGUGCUGUUCUGAGCAUUAUUUGUGGCUAUAGAGUGACGUUUUGGUUGAGGUUUGUUUAUGGCUCCUCAGACCGCUGUGUAUUGCUAUUGUGCGGUUGUUAAUAAAAGUUGGUAUAACUAGGGAAACGAGCGUUUGGCAACAUUCAUCUCUCGAGGGGGUGUCUAUCUAGGUGUUACGGUGUGUUUGACUUUAACUUAAAUUCACGCCGGAAUAUCCCUUUAAUAUAUCUCUUUGCUGUUAGCUUGUAGCGUAGCUCAGAUUUCUUGUCACACUUUCAGAGUGGCAAAUGUGUCAAAUAUCAGACAGGAUGGCCUCUGCAGCAAAUGAAGAGGAUACAGGGUCUAAAACUUCCCCUUUGUCGUGGUCUUUGCUUUCAGUCCUUUCUCUGACUUCUCUUUAGUCGUUAGCUUGUAGCGUAGCUCAGGUUUCUUGUCACACUUUCAGAGCGGCGAAUGUGUCAAAUAUCGGACACAAAGGCCCCUCAAAGUCUUUGAUUAGGCGCAUUAAAAUCACACAAACGGCGGGUCCCAGGCCCUCCUUUUGUCGUCCUUGUCGUAUAAAUUUGAUUCAGAGCCAGAUUCUUGACUUUCAUGAUCGUUUUUCAUCCACCUUUCGCUUUCACUCUUGCCUUUCAGUCCCCCCUCCUCUCAUCUAUUUACGCAGCUUUGUCGCUUUGAACAUCAGUGCACGGGUGGCUCUGUGGCUGCCGCUGUCACCUGCUAAUGUCACCGGUAAUGAUGUGAAGCCGCCUCCCCGCUACCCCCACCUUGAAACGGCGUCACAGAGCCCAGGACUCAAUCAUUUCAUUUAAGCAAAAACAAAGUGCGACAGCGACAACUGUGAACCAGCCAAGAGAGGGAAGCGGCGCCGCUUUCGUCUGCAAAUCACUCGGCUAACACCUUUGAAGUGGUGACAUGCCCCUGGAAAAUGUGGCGAGGAGCUCCCGGUUUGGGGGAUGAAAGGGGAGUCGGCUUCUCGUCAACUUUUGACCUCUAUACGCGGAAGAUCAGUUGGGGUUUGGGCCAGCUGCCACUCCAGACAUCGCUGCCGCUGCCGUGUUUGAUAAACGACACUGAGAGUUUCCUUCUACGUUUACUGAAUCGAGCCGAAGAGUAAACUGAGUUGAAAUGAACUCCAAUGAACUGAAUCACGUCAGAACAUCCAAAUCCGUUUACAGACGGUGAGUACUUCAUCUUUUCUUGGUGUCAGGAGUUGGUUUUGCUCGAGGACACUUCUGCAAAGUGGAUUAAGGGGACGGAUGAUUGACCCCGCUUCUCCUUGAAGUGACCUAAUCCUGGUUGACCCCAAACAGCUGUCAGCGCCGAUCCCCAUUGACUGCAGUUUUGACGUGUUUUAUUGAGCGUAGCGGCUGAUAAAUGAAGACGAACUGAGCAGAAAAUCAACCACCAUCUACUGGAAAACACGCCGGAGUCCUUUUUGUGAAUUUGUUGGUUCAGAGUUCUUGUUUCUUUCUCCUCUGAUGGAUAAAAAUCAAACUGUGAAAGUCAGCGUGGCCUGACAUUUGGUUGUGGGAACGUUUUUAGUCACGCCUUCUCAGAAAAUGGUCUUCAAUCUAUUUUCAAGAGUCGCAUUUACUAAGAAGAUCCAAACCAAAUCUAAAAAGCCGACUUAAGCGGAUAAACUGACUAUCAUUUAAUGUCUUCAGUAUUAUUUUCUAACCCUUGUUUGCUUGUCAGUGAAAAGACCCUAAUUUUUUCCCAUGAUAUAGAUAUUUUUGUCAACAGAGAAACAAAAUUUACCCGUUGUAUCCUAUAUAUCCUGACAAAUUAAAGAUUUUGGCCUCUACAUCCUCCAAAAUCAGGAUUUAGUGGAAAUGUUCAGGUUUAAAAAACCAAGAAUUUUCAUUUUCUGGACGGUUUAUCCCACCAAAAUGAGUUUGAGCUGGUGAAUUUGUUAUUUUUUUCCCCUCAAUUAAAUAAUUAUCAUCCUGCUCAGAGCCACAUAUUACAGCUAAAUCAAAAACUUGCCUUUUUUUGCCUUUAUAUUCCAAUAAAUUCAGGUUUUGGUGCCACAGAAGUAAAGUCUCUCCUGUUGUGGUCCAUUUAUCCCAAUCAAGUCUGGAUUUGGUGGGAAAUUUUUGUUCCUAUAAAAGAAAAUAUCAAUCUUUUGUAUUUGGCUGAAUUAGAGCCAAGUAGCAAACAACUGUGUAGUACCAGGCUGCAGAUACACGCAGUGAAAAUCUAAGAGUUUUGGCACCAAAGACCCCAAUUUCUUCCAAGAUAUAGAAAUGUUGUCAACAGAGAAACAAAAUUUGCCUGUUGUAUCCCAAAUAUCCUGACAAAUUAAAGAUUUAAGCCUUUACAUCAUCCAAAAUCAGUAAUUGGUGGAAAUGUUCAGGUUUAACAAACCAAGAACUUUAACUUUCUGAAUGAUUUAUCCCACCAAAAAUAUAUAUAUUUUUUAAUUAAAUCAACAUUAUCCUGUUCAGAGCCAUAUAUUAAUGCAAAAUUAAGACCAAGUACUCGCCCUUUUUGCCCUUAUAUCCCAACAAAUUUAGGUUUUGUAGAGGAUUAUUUAGUUUUGGUGCCACAGAAGCAAAGACUCUCUUGUUGUGGUCCAUUAUCCCAAUUAAGUCUGGGUUUGGUGGGAUAUUUUUGUUCCUAAAAAAGAAAAUAUCAACUUUUUUUCAGGAUUUGGUUGAAAUUGUUGUUUUUUCGUCCCACAGUGCGUAUAAUUGUCAGUUCUAGUCUUUGUAUCCUUAUAAAAUGUUAAAAUUUGCUUUGUUGGAGGUCUUCUGGUCAACUCCAGUUAUCAGCUCUUCGGUCAGCUCAAGGCCCGCCUCAGGACUUUGAUUUAAGCCCAUUAACUUCAACCGAAUCUGGAUCGUAUCGCUUGAUCUUUUAAAAUGACAUGAUGGACCGUAAUAUUUGCCUGAAUCAAACAUUUUCAACUCAAAGAAUUCAACAAAAACAGCUGAAAUAAAGCCCCGGACAGGAAAUCAAAGAGGAUCCAGUCCAGAGUGUCAUCAUUAAAAGCAGCAGGACUCUGACGCCACAUAAGUUGCAGUGUAAUUAUCAACCCUGACAGACUAAGGGUAACAUUUAGCGUCUGCACAGAUCCCCCGUGAGGACUGUUUUCCAACACGCCGCCCCCCUCAUUGAAUUCAGCUUCAAACCUGUGAAUCUAUUGCGCGCUAAGCCCUUACACUGAUCGCUGAUGCGGUGGGCGUGCUGUCAAUAUUGGCCCAUUCACUGUGAGGGAGCAAAUCUCCCCUUGACAUGGCCAGCCAUGCGAGUAAUAGCUAGGAUUAAGAUAGGAAGGUACACACAUGAAUAUACAAAACACUGUAUGGCGCGGGAGGAUCUGAGGCGGCGCAGUCGGGGGAAAUUACCGAGGCCGCAUAGAAACAAGAUUGAAGGGCUCGGACAUGAAAGGAUUCAUUCAGAGCCGUGACGGUGAUGACGGUGACACGUUUUCAAGGCGUUGUGAACAUAUAGAGGUGGUUUGGGUUUCUGUACAGGUCUAAAAGGACAGGAAAGCGAGCGGCGUGAUUAUAUGGUCAGCAGACGCAGGUUUCAGCCUUUACCUCAUAAUUACAGCGACCAUCACCUCCUGUAGAGAGAGAGUACGUUUGACCACAAAGAGCUUCAUGCACUGCAGAUUAUUCGGUUCUUACCAAGACAAAAAGACUUAGAUUUAUAAGUGUUAGUGGAUAAUUUUUCUUGUUUUAAGACUUCUUAUUUUAAGUGUUUAACUUUACACUUUAAUCCUAAAUCAAGCACAGUAUUUUUUCUCUUAAUUUCUAUUUUUUGUUUAACUAAUCUUCAGCUUAAUUUGUUAAAAAUAAGAAAACAAAAUAUGUAAUUGCUCAUAUUUAUUACAUUUCACUUAUUUUAGGGCUGUAAAAGUUAAAAUUCAAGUACUCUGAUCUUAAACCAGCACUUUAUACUUAUUUUAUGCUUAUGUUAAGUAUAGUUAACUUACUUUUGGGGCUGUAAAAGUUAAAUUUUAAGUAAUCUGAUCUUAAAACCAGCCUUUCUGGUUUACUUUAAGCCUUCUAAAUGCAUUUGUAGACAUGCUUAUUACUAGAUUUAACAAUCUUAAUUCAAGAAAUUUUGUCAGGUGAAAUCAUCUUGCUGCAUGGACAGAUAAUUUUCCUCGUCUUUAGUACCUUUUUCCUCAGAUUUAGUGUCUUUAUCUUUUUUUUCAGACCCCCUUUUUUUGCAGUGUGGAUGUGGAUGCUGUUUGGUCUCACUGUGACAAGAGUCGGAAAAUGACGAAUGCGUGCAAAGUCUGCGACUGUUUUUGAUCGGUUCUUUUCAAUUAAGAUAAAUGCCAUGUGGGGACAAGUGCUGUCCCGUAGUGAUGGGAAGAACAGUUCUUUUGACUGUACUGAAUCUUUAGAAUCCGUUCAUUAAAACGAUUCGUUCAAAAGAUUCGUUCACUGAAUCAGUGAGUUUGGUGACACACGUCGUUCAUUCGCCAAGUCCUGAAGGAAGAAUCACUCCCCUACCAUGGAAAACUCGCCUCUCUGUGUGUCGCUGUCAGCGGAAACAACAAGCAGCUAGCAGCACGCCCGCUAAAUGAGCAGGAGUCGUUGUUCUUUUAUAUCGCGGGAAAGUGGAGAGAUUAAAAAUAAACAUCGCAGUUCUGGUAGGGACUCAGUGAACGAAUCGGUGCUUGGCAGUAGCGAACGACGCUACGCCCCUCCCUCCUCUGCCUGCAUCAAGUCAUUUGGAAGUCGUUUGUUUCAUCACAGACUGACUGACACAUAUUGUUCAUUCGCUGUGAGUAAAUCACGAGACUCCACCCGCCUGCUCACUGGCUGGCUGGCUGUGUCGUUCACCAAAGAGUCAAAGGCGGCAGUUCCACUCCUGACCGGCACGCCACGCUCACGGCUGAGCUCAACUGAACUGAGAAAGGAACGAAUCAGGUCUCAGACUGAUUCCAUUCACGUCCGUUUGACACAACACGACUGUUCCUGCAAGAAGUUCAGAUUUUGGGGACGAGUAAAACAUCGUGCACACAUCAGUUCUUAUCUUGCACAUGUGUAACUGCUUCAAGUCUUAUAGAAGUGCACACAAAGGUCUGCACAAGCUGACAGGGACCGGCUCCACGUCCCUCCUCUUACCUUAUCGUUUUUGGUGUCGCGGACUGAAUAGCGAAUCUGCUUCCUAAUUGGACGCCAGGCUCGGGGCUUUGUCCUUUGGCGUGAUGUGACAAGCCGUUAUAAGUGGUUGCUUUCACCAGCUUUCAGUGGAAGUUUAAGACCGUGCAAAAAUGAAACAGCGGAUCAUGCCCACGUUUUCAGCCGACACUGAUGUGGCGUUACCUCACGGGCAGGAUGGGAGAUCGAGGGCGAGGAGGGGAGCGUCUCCGGGAAGAAUCCGACAGGGUUUAGGUCCUAUUUGUCUCGCAUUUUGACGACUCCUCCCCCGCAGGAUUGUACGUGCAAAUGUGUAUUUCCGACUCCGACUCAUCACUGCCUAAUUGGCACUUAACAGCUGCCCCUCACGGCCUCCUCGCUGGCUGCUUUUCCGCUCACUUUUCCCAGAGUGCAGAGCAGCAGCACCACAUCAAACAUCACCCAACUGAGAGGGCACUUUCCCCUACACCCUUUUCUCCCCCCCAAAACCUCCCCUAUUCCCUUCCCUUCCCUUGCAGCAAUCUCUAAGCAGUUUGCACCCAAGACAGCCCCGAGUGCUCAUUAUCGUUUGUCUCAGUCGGCCUGUCGCUCUGAAAUCCGCCCCCUCCUUACCCGUCGCCCACCUCCGCCUUCCCCUCUGGCUUUUCCCCCCACUUUGGAAAAAAAAAGAGCAUGAAGAAGACGUCAGGAUAUUGAAGAUGUUCUGCAUUCAGGCUCUGAGCCAAAAGAGACGGCGCAUACGGCAGACAUAUGGCCACGUCUUCAAAAUCUUAUCUUUAUUUAACCAGGCCCAUCAAUCACGGCGAAUCGCCUUUUCUGCGAGUCAAAACCACGUUGGAAGACAGAUGUUGGAGGACAAGUUUUAUUUUCUGUAAACAUAAAGGUUAUCGUUAGUUCCCUUUUGAGCCAUCCAGACUAAAAGAAAAUGGUCGGCAUUGGCGUGGAUGUUAUGUUCGAACACAUCAACGCAUGUGGAUGUCAUAUUACACCAAAUGAGGCAAAAUGAAGCAAAGCAAAAGCACAGACGCUCAAGGUCCCUCGCUUGUUUCAGACUAAUGGAAAGAGAAACAAGCUUCGGAGUGUGCUCCUGUAAACAUCAGGUGCUGUUUCCAAUGCAAAUUGACUUGUUUUUUCAGAGGCCCAAUUAUGUGAGAGAGGGACAAUCUCCUCUUAUUCUCUAAACAAGCAAAACUGCUGCGGGAACAGGGGGGAAAAACCCAGUUUUCCAUUUUUACAAAGCGACCGAGCUUAUAAAAUUCAGCUUUUCGUUUGUUUCAACGCUGCGUAAACAAACUCUUAAAACCACUCAAAACCAAAAUCUGCAACAGCCUCGUAACUAUCCCAUUUCAGCCUCUCGGACUCUCUGACUUUUGCUUAGUUGACUAAAUGUUUGGUAUUUUUAAACAUUCAACUUUGACUAUCUGAUUCGACCAGAAGAGACAGGUAUCAUCUGCAUAACAGUGAACUUUGAGAUAGGAUAAGUUGAGACAACAACAAGCUACUAAUUGGUAGUUGCGCCCCCCCGUAAUAACCCCACAUAAUAACCUGUUGUUCAGGACUGCGCGUAACAUGUUCACUUGCUCACCUCCUACCUACCCGGCUACCGUAAUGAACAUUGUUCUGGUCUACAUGCAACAUUUUUUUCCUCAUUAAUGAAACGCUGAAGUCGGGGACAUUUCCGGGGACAGUUUUUGCGGGGGACAGAUAAUCCAAAACAGGUACAUCAGGGACAUCUGGUCUGUUAUGGAUAAUGGUGCCAAGUAGGGCUGCACAAUAUAUUGUUCAAGCAUCGUCAUCGCGAUGUACGUGUGUGUGAUAUUCACAUUGCAAAUUAACUCAUCUCAUUUCCAGGGUAGCUGACUGAGAUACAUUGCAUGUGACUCUGCAUGUGCAGCGAUCCACCAAUCACAUUUGUUCUUUACUCAGUUGCCAAUCAGACUACCCUGCCAGCUGUCAAUCAAAAAUCAGAGGGGAGGAAACCACGCCCCUGUACAUGGAGUGAGUCGCUGGCGCUGCCGGUGUUGUGCCGAGAAACGCGUGCCUGCCAAGAAUUACUUUCGGAACAUUACUCAUCCAAAUAUUAAGAAUUGUACGGGUUUAAAUCGUAUAUUUACGUGGAAAAUGACGACUUGUUGCCAGAAAGAAAAGGAAAGUCUGUUAUGUUGAAUUAUUUUGGUCACAAGAAGGAUGAUAUCAACCAAACACGUGUUCUGUCUCGGCCGUGCCUCUCAUCUGUCGUCACAAUAACAUCAGGUCAUCUGGUGAAAAUUCCUAUAUUAUAUAUCACAGGGUUGAGAAAAAUUGUAAUGUUAAUUUUUUCCAAUAUCGUGCAGCCUUAGUGCCGAGUAAGAUGGUGUAUAAAGAGAAAAUAAGAGGACCAAGCAGUGACCCCUGAGGAACCCCUGAUGUUGAGUGUGUAGUUUGGACACUUCUUAAACAAAGUUCAGUUUGAAGAGGGGUUUUAAUGGUUCACAUAAACAUGUGUUGUUGUCAUUGUGGGCGGAGUCAGAUGUCAAUCAUAUUCUGAUUACGAAAUGGUCAAAAUGCAGAAUUAGCUGCUCAUGAACUUGCAUUUUGAAGCCUGUCCUUUACUCGGAUUUCCUUUUUUUUUUUUUUUUGGAUGUCCACACACUCUCUUAACUUUGAUUACAUUUUCACAUUUCUACUACCUAAUGCUAAUUCCCUCCUCUCCUUGAGUUUAGUGGAGGUUCUCAGGUCCAGGUUUGAAAAAUGAGGGAGUUACAGUAGAGUGAAUAUACAAUAAAACGCUGGUAUGAAGUUUUAACCCUGGCAAUGUCAGCUAACCAUAUUAGCAUUCCCACAUGGGGGAAAGGCUGUGAGUUGGAAUAGAAAUGGGCUGGUUCAGCGAGCAGGGGGAGUCGAGGUCCCAUUCGUCUUGUCCUGUUUAAAUACACUGGUUAACUCCUGCCAACGGGGAAGCCAUUCAGCAAAAGGCCAAGGGCAUCUGUCAUGUGUUCAGCACAUUGAUAUUGUCCCCUUCCAUCUCUCUCUUCCCUCUAUCGUUUCCCCCUCUUUGUUUGUCUCCACCGCUCUCCCGCUCUUCCUCCUCUUUCCCCCCCUCCUCUUCUGAUGAAAGGAGUGAAUAUGCAGGGAACUGACAUGAUUAGCAGCCUCAUAUCCCCAUGAUGGAUGGUGCCUGCUCCAUUAUUAAUAUAGUAAAAGCACCAACUGCCAGGUAAGAGCAAUGUCAGCAUCCACAAUAUAACGCUGUGUGCCCACGGAUAAUGGUGAGCACUUAUUUUUAUCUAUGAUAUGCAUGGGCCUCAGGCCGAGGAAGACGAGGAGGAGGAGGAGGCGGUGUAAACGACUAAGCAAGAGCACCAAGACUUUGAGAAUUUCCAGUGAAAACGAAUAUUUUGCCAAAUUAAAGAAAUUUUGAGCUUCACGAACCGACGAAUAACGAUCCAAGUGACCUUAAUAAUAUUUAACGUUUAUAGGCUCGCUUAACGAUUGAUAUUUUAUCCCUCGUGUGAUAUUUUUUCAAUUAGACUGUGAUUUAUAACGUUUCUGUGACAUUUGCACGCCGCCACUCACACUUUAUUUGUACGACAGCGAUUUAAGCCCUCCGACCAAUAAACUUUGUCAAUAUAACUCGAGGAAAUCUCGUUAUAUUUUACUGGAAUAUUCCAUUUUCCGAACAGUAAAGCGUUUUAAAAGCAUGAAUAAAUUAUGCAGUCCACCGCUGACUUGUCAGGUCGCUCAUGUCCUGCCGACAACGCCAAUACACGUCUCGGCGUUGUCAACUCAGAGUCAUUUAUGUAGCAGUCACAUGACAGAGUAGGUCGAUUGGCGAUGACCCCGAGAGUGUGCGGGGCAUACAUAAGGACGGAUUUAGGGUAUGUUCACACUGCAGGUCAAUUCCGAUUUUUUAACCAUAUGUGACACAUAUCGGAUUUUUCAUGUAAGUGUGAACAGUGCAAUUCCGAUUUUGACGCAAAAAGAUCGGAUUUAAUGAAAAAUCUGAAACCUGCAGUGUGAACGUAGCCUCAGAUAUUCUUGUUCUGUUUUCUUCAAUUUGGUAGAAGUUUCUUAAAUGAGCAUUUCCACGUUUGUUUAAAAUGUCAGGAAUCGCAGAAUCCACUUCGGCUCCGUCCUGAUGUGUUAGUGCUUCACCGAACACGUGCACUCAUGAAAAGAAGUCUUUGUCUCACAUGAAAAUGUUUUAUUUAGCGUCAAGUGUAACCUUUUCCCACUUUUUGUUGCGUCUGAAGCUCAUCCAAAGAGCCCAUAAACAAUGCAUAAAAAUAACAGGAUUUAUCUCGUGAAUAUUUUACACCUCAGCCAGCCGUGAGGAAAUCGGCUAAACAGGACACAAGCGCUCCAGAUUGUUGUUUUCUUGUCACUUGACCGGCGACUGUAUGUCUGAAUUUACGUCCACCGUCUGUCAUGUUUUUUUUAGGGGUGAAAAGAUGCAGUUCAGGAUGAGGGGAUGGAUGAAGAGCAGCAGGGAUAGGUAAGAAGAAAAAGGGAGCGAAGGAAAGAGGCAGGAAAAGGCAAAGAGAGACAGAGUGAGUUGUGUCAAAUGGAUAAAUGUCAGCGGGAGCUUCAUCGUCCUCCUGAGCCGAGCGCUCCCUCCCAAAAUGCCAUGUGUAAAUCGUGGAGCCGGGGCCCACGGCCAGCCUUUCCCCCCAGCACUGUAAUGAGAUUACAGACCUCUACAACACUGUGUGUAUGUGUGUGUGUGUGUGUGUGUGUGUGUGUGUGUGUGUGUGUGUGUGUGUGUGUGUGUGUGUGUAUCAGAAGAGGAGAGGAUACUAUUGAGCUGCAUGGAAGUGCACAAUUUCCGAGUCUUGCACAGGGGCAGGCGAAUACAUGGCAUUACUCACAGCUGCAAACAAGACGUAUCCGGGAAGAUUCGGACACUUAUUUGUACAAGGGGUGCAGUUUUUUUCUCUGAAGUGCAGGU
RNAcentral lists this long non-coding RNA (43673 nucleotides) under Xyrichtys novacula (pearly razorfish). The record is from RNAcentral. Lineage: Eukaryota; Metazoa; Chordata; Actinopteri; Labriformes; Labridae.